Molecule: ribosomal RNA, 255 nt
Filed under: uncultured bacterium
Lineage: Bacteria
Description: partial 16S ribosomal RNA
Rfam family: Bacterial small subunit ribosomal RNA
Source: RNAcentral
UACGGUAGGAGGCGAGCGUUGUCCGGAAUUACUGGGUGUAAAGCGCGUGUAGGCGGCCUGCCAAGUCUGCUGUGAAAGCGCCUGGCUUAACCGGGCGAGGUCGGUGGAAACUGGGCGGGCUGGAGGCCGGUAGAGGGGGGUGGAAUUCCCGGUGUAGUGGUGAAAUGCGUAGAGAUCGGGAGGAACACCAGUGGCGAAGGCGGCCCCCUGGGCCGGGCCUGACGCUGAGACGCGAAAGCGCGGGGAGCGAACGGG